This 289-nucleotide unclassified non-coding RNA is filed under the name uncultured fungus. Its description in RNAcentral is "partial contains small subunit ribosomal RNA, internal transcribed spacer 1, and 5.8S ribosomal RNA". The stretch from base 1 to 73 matches the Rfam family "Eukaryotic small subunit ribosomal RNA", at positions 1759 to 1831 of the family's 1831-position model. The record is from RNAcentral. Lineage: Eukaryota; Fungi.
UCAAACUUGGUCAUUUAGAGGAAGUAAAAGUCGUAACAAGGUUUCCGUAGGUGAACCUGCGGAAGGAUCAUUAAAAGUUGGGCGUUCCGCCCGUCAACUUUUGACCCUGUGAACCGUCCCGUUUGCUUCGGCGGGCCGACUUCGUAAGGAGUCCGGCUGGUCUCUCCGGCUGGAGCGCCCGCCAGAAGACUUUUUUUUCUCAAUUUUUGGUGCCUGUCUGAAAAAAAAGCAAAACGUUAAAACUUUCAACAACGGAUCUCUUGGUUCUCGCAUCGAUGAAGAACGCAGC